Megalopta genalis is the source of this 123-nucleotide non-coding RNA. The record is from RefSeq and is a predicted model, not a curated record. Lineage: Eukaryota; Metazoa; Arthropoda; Insecta; Hymenoptera; Halictidae.
CAAUCUCUAGCGUUGCAGCUCACCGACAAAGUGAACAAUUUUGUCGAUUCCAAUGAACGUAUUUUCGAAAUGAAACAAGGGAACUUUUUUUCAAGAGGAAAUCAAGGAAAUUUCCGCGACAGG